This 642-nucleotide ribosomal RNA is filed under the name uncultured archaeon. RNAcentral describes it as "bacterial SSU rRNA". It matches the Rfam family "Archaeal small subunit ribosomal RNA", at positions 691 to 1331 of the family's 1478-position model. The record is from RNAcentral.
CCGACGGUGAGGGGCGAAGGCUGGGGGCGCAAACCGGAUUAGAGUACCCGGGUAGUCCCAGCAGUAAACGAUGCCAGCUAUGUGUUGCUGGAACCAUGGGUUCCAGCAGUGCCGAAGGGAAGCCGUGAAGCUGGCCACCUGGGAAGUACGGUCGCAAGGCUGAAACUUAAAGGAAUUGGCGGGGGAGUACCACAACCGGUGGAGCCUGCGGUUUAAUUGGAUACAACGCCGGGAAUCUUACCGGAGGGGACAGCAGUAUGAAGGCCAGGCUAAAGACCUUGCCAGAUCAGCUGAGAGGAGGUGCAUGGCCGUCGCCAGUUCGUACCGUGAGGCAUCCUGUUUAGUCAGGCAACGAUCGAGACCCGCAGUCUUAUUUGCCAGCAUGCCCUUUGGGGUGUAUGGGUACAAUAAGACGACCGCCAGCGCUAAGCUGGAGGAAGGAGCGGGCUACGGUAGGUCAGCAUGCCCCGAAUCCUCCGGGAUACACGCGGGCUACAAUGGUCAGGACAAAAGGUACCGACCUCGAAAGAGUGAGGUAAUCCACAAACCUGAUCUCAGUCCGGAUCGAAGGCUGCAACUCGCCUUCGUGAAGAUGGAAUCGGUAGUAAUCGUGACUCAAAAUGUCACGGUGAAUAUGUCCCU